RNAcentral lists this long non-coding RNA (583 nucleotides) under Hordeum vulgare. RNAcentral's name for it is "long non-coding RNA (HVUL_LNC017107)". Lineage: Eukaryota; Viridiplantae; Streptophyta; Magnoliopsida; Poales; Poaceae. The record is from RNAcentral.
GUGGGCUGGAUGUAUUGAGCCAUGCUUAUUGACUUACCAAUCAUUGAGAGAAGGCAGACGUACGCGUAGAUGUGUCGAAAUAGAGGACGUGGGCUGGAUGUAUUGAGCCAUGCUUAUCGACUUACCAAUGAUUGAGAGAAGGCAGACGUACGCGUAGAUGUGUCGAAAUAGAGGACGUGGGCUGGAUGUAUUGAGCCAUGUUUUUUGCCAUUGAGAACCGUCUGAUCUGCAGCACCUCGUGUUGCACUACAGCUCCCCCAACGCGGCCUGCUCUGCAGAACCAAACGAUUCUUCCUCUGCGUCUGCAACCCCGGCGACCCUGUACCAAUGUGCUCGGCAACAUUGACAGCAGCAGCGUCCGACGAUGCGGCGGAGCAACAACGACACGGUGCUGCUGGUUGACGGCUGCAGGUUCAUCACCGGGGUGCCGCACGUCUCCUGCGGCUGCCUGGACAAGGGCCAUGAUGAAAGUCAGAGAGGGAUGCAGAGAAGAAAGAGGGAGAAUAGUGAUCUCGUUCCUGUGGUGAAAGAAAUGAGUGACUCUGGUUGCUGCGCUCGAGAUAAAGCAGCCGAUGGGUGGGUG